Non-coding RNA from Ictidomys tridecemlineatus (thirteen-lined ground squirrel), 69 nucleotides. The record is from Rfam. NCBI's taxonomy places the organism in Eukaryota, Metazoa, Chordata, Mammalia, Rodentia, Sciuridae.
AGGGAUGUGGCUCAGUGGUAAAGCACUUGCUUGGCAUGCAUGAGACCCUGGGUUUUAUCCCCAAUCCUG